CCCCCUACUAUGUCGCAUGAUCCACCCAUCUUAUGAUUAGAAGCUAAAUGAAAAAAAGAAAAAAAAAGAGCAAGGAAGAUGGCAGAAGCAAGACCAACAAAUGAAAUGAGAAAAGCAAGCAUCGACAAAGAGGGACCUAGGGAUGUGCUGGGAGACCAACCUGUGAUUGAGCAAGCACGUGAUGGAGGGUGUCAGAGAAAAUAGCCGAA
This 209-nucleotide long non-coding RNA is filed under the name Elaeis guineensis (African oil palm). RNAcentral's name for it is "long non-coding RNA (EGUI_LNC002242)". Lineage: Eukaryota; Viridiplantae; Streptophyta; Magnoliopsida; Arecales; Arecaceae. The record is from RNAcentral.